UCGGGAUAGCUCACUUGGUAG
RNAcentral lists this transfer RNA (21 nucleotides) under Roessleria bechuanensis. RNAcentral's name for it is "Hirpicium bechuanense partial tRNA-Phe". Lineage: Eukaryota; Viridiplantae; Streptophyta; Magnoliopsida; Asterales; Asteraceae. The record is from RNAcentral.